RNAcentral lists this ribosomal RNA (253 nucleotides) under uncultured bacterium. RNAcentral describes it as "partial 16S ribosomal RNA". It matches the Rfam family "Bacterial small subunit ribosomal RNA", at positions 524 to 776 of the family's 1533-position model. The record is from RNAcentral.
UACAGAGGUCUCAAGCGUUGUUCGGAUUCAUUGGGCGUAAAGGGUGCGUAGGCGGCGCGGUAAGUCGGGUGUGAAAUCUCGGAGCUUAACUCCGAAACUGUAUUCGAUACUGCCGUGCUUGAGGACUGGAGAGGAGACUGGAAUUUACGGUGUAGCGGUGAAAUGCGUAGAUAUCGUAAGGAAGACCAGUGGCGAAGGCGGGUCUCUGGACAGUUCCUGACGCUGAGGCACGAAGGCCAGGGGAGCAAACGGG